CCUACGGGUGGCAGCAGUGGGGAAUAUUGCACAAUGGGGGAAACCCUGAUGCUGCGACGCCGCGUGAGUGAAGAAGGAUUUCGGUAUGUAAAGCUCUAUCAGCAGGGAAGCAAAUGACGGUACCUGAUUAAGAAGCACCGGCUAACUACGGGCCAGCAGCCGCGGUAAUACGUAGGGGGCAAGCGUUAUCCGGAUUUACUGGGUGUAAAGGGAGCGUAGACGGCAGCACAAGUCUGGAGUGAAAGGCCGGGGCUUAACCCCGGGACUGCUUUGGAAACUGUGCAGCGAGAGUGCAGGAGAGGGAAGUGGAAUUCCUAGUGUAGCGGUGAAAUGCGUAGAUAUUAGGAGGAACACCAGUGGCGAAGGCGGCUUACUGGACUGUAACUGACGUUGAGGCACGAAGGCGUGGGGAGCGAACAGGAUUAGAUACCCGGGUAGUC
RNAcentral lists this ribosomal RNA (440 nucleotides) under uncultured bacterium. RNAcentral describes it as "partial 16S ribosomal RNA". It matches the Rfam family "Bacterial small subunit ribosomal RNA", at positions 338 to 795 of the family's 1533-position model. The record is from RNAcentral.